CCUACGGGUGGCAGCAGUGAGGAAUAUUGGUCAAUGGCCGAGAGGCUGAACCAGCCAAGUCGCGUGAGGGAAGACGGCCCUACGGGUUGUAAACCUCUUUUGUCGGGGAGCAAAGAGAGUCACGUGUGACCCAUUGAGAGUACCCUAUGAAUAAGCAUCGGCUAACUCCGUGCCAGCAGCCGCGGUAAUACGGAGGAUGCGAGCGUUAUCCGGAUUUAUUGGUUUAAAGGGGGGCGCGGGGGGAGUGGCAAGUCAGCGGUCAAAUUUCGGGGCUAAACCUCGUACUGCCGUUGAAACUGGAAGUCUUGAGUGCACGAGAGGUAUGCGGAAUGCGUGGUGUAGCGGUGAAAUGCUUAGAUAUCACGCAGAACUCCGAUUGCGAAGGCAGCAUACCGGAGCGCAACUGACGCUCAUGCACGAAAGCGUGGGUAUCGAACAGGAUUAGAUACCCUAGUAGUC
Molecule: ribosomal RNA, 459 nt
Filed under: uncultured bacterium
Lineage: Bacteria
Description: partial 16S ribosomal RNA
Rfam family: Bacterial small subunit ribosomal RNA
Source: RNAcentral